GAUGAACGCUGGCGGCGUGCCUAAUACAUGCAAGUCGAGCGAACAGACGAGGAGCUUGCUCCUCUGACGUUAGCGGCGGACGGGUGAGUAACACGUGGAUAACCUACCUAUAAGACUGGGAUAACUUCGGGAAACCGGAGCUAAUACCGGAUAAUAUAUUGAACCGCAUGGUUCAAUAGUGAAAGACGGUUUUGCUGUCACUUAUAGAUGGAUCCGCGCCGCAUUAGCUAGUUGGUAAGGUAACGGCUUACCAAGGCAACGAUGCGUAGCCGACCUGAGAGGGUGAUCGGCCACACUGGAACUGAGACACGUCCAGACUCCUACGGGAGGCAGCAGUAGGGAAUCUUCCGCAAUGGGCGAAAGCCUGACGGAGCAACGCCGCGUGAGUGAUGAAGGUCUUCGGAUCGUAAAACUCUGUUAUUAGGGAAGAACAAAUGUGUAAGUAACUAUGCACGUCUUGACGGUACCUAAUCAGAAAGCCACGGCUAACUACGUG
RNAcentral lists this ribosomal RNA (496 nucleotides) under uncultured bacterium. RNAcentral describes it as "partial 16S ribosomal RNA". It matches the Rfam family "Bacterial small subunit ribosomal RNA", at positions 28 to 507 of the family's 1533-position model. The record is from RNAcentral.